This is a long non-coding RNA of Oncorhynchus tshawytscha (Chinook salmon), 336 nucleotides long. The record is from Ensembl. NCBI's taxonomy places the organism in Eukaryota, Metazoa, Chordata, Actinopteri, Salmoniformes, Salmonidae.
GGAGAGGUUGCUCUAGAGAAACAGGGAGACAGAGAUGCUGCUCUAGAGAAACAGGGAGACAGGUAGACAGAGAAGCUGCUCUAGAGAAACAGGGAGACAGGUAGACGGAGAAGCUGCUGUAGAGAAACAGGGAGACAGGGAGACAGAGAAGCUGCUCUAGAGAAACAGGGAGACAGGUAGACAGAGAAGCUGCUCUAGAGAAACAGGGAGACAGGUAGACAGAGAAGCUGCUCUAGAGAAACAGGGAGACAGGGAGACAGGUAGACAGAGAUGCUGCUCUAGAGAAACAGGGAGACAGGUAGACAGAGAAGCUGCUCUAGAGAAACAGGGAGACAG